Molecule: ribosomal RNA, 497 nt
Filed under: uncultured bacterium
Lineage: Bacteria
Description: partial 16S ribosomal RNA
Rfam family: Bacterial small subunit ribosomal RNA
Source: RNAcentral
GAUGAACGCUGGCGGCGUGCCUAAUACAUGCAAGUCGAGCGAACGGACGAGAAGCUUGCUUUUCUGAUGUUAGCGGCGGACGGGUGAGUAACACGUGGAUAACCUACCUAUAAGACUGGGAUAACUUCGGGAAACCGGAGCUAAUACCGGAUAAUAUUUUGAACCGCAUGGUUCAAAAGUGAAAGACGGUCUUGCUGUCACUUAUAGAUGGAUCCGCGCUGCAUUAGCUAGUUGAUAAGGUAACGGCUUACCAAGGCAACGAUGCAUAGCCGACCUGAGAGGGUGAUCGGCCACACUGGAACUGAGACACGGUCCAGACUCGUACGGGAGGCAGCAGUAGGGAAUCUUCCGCAAUGGGCGAAAGCCUGACGGAGCAACGCCGCGUGAGUGAUGAAGGUCUUCGGAUCGUAAAACUCUGUUAUUAGGGAAGAACAUAUGUGUAAGUAACUGUGCACAUCUUGACGGUACCUAAUCAGAAAGCCACGGCUAACUACGUG